RNAcentral lists this unclassified non-coding RNA (501 nucleotides) under uncultured Glomus. RNAcentral describes it as "SSU rRNA". It matches the Rfam family "Eukaryotic small subunit ribosomal RNA", at positions 591 to 1092 of the family's 1831-position model. Lineage: Eukaryota; Fungi; Glomeromycota; Glomeromycetes; Glomerales; Glomeraceae. The record is from RNAcentral.
CCAAUAGCGUAUAUUAAAGUUGUUGCAGUUAAAAAGCUCGUAGUUGAAUUUCGGGAUCAAUACGUCGGUCAUGCUUUUUGGUACGAACUGGCGUCAUUGGUUUCUCCUUUCUGACGAACCAUGAUGUCAUUAAUUUGGUGUUAUGGGGAGUUGGGACUGUUACUUUGAAAAAAUUAGAGUGUUUAAAGCAGGCAUAAGCUUGAAUACAUUAGCAUGGAAUAAUGAAAUAGGACGUUUGAUCCUAUUUUGUUGGUUUCUAGGAUCAACGUAAUGAUUAAUAGGGAGAGUUGGGGGCAUUAGUAUUCAAUUGUCAGAGGUGAAAUUCUUGGAUUUAUUGAAGACUAACUACUGAGAAAGCAUUUGCCAAGGAUGUUUUCAUUAAUCAAGAACGAAAGUUAGGGGAUCGAAGACGAUCAGAUACCGUCGUAGUCUUAACCAUAAACUAUGCCGACUAGGGAUCGGAUGAUGUUAAUUUUUUAAUGACUCAUUCGGCGCCUUACG